UAGGGAAUCUUCGGCAAUGGACGAAAGUCUGACCGAGCAACGCCGCGUGAGCGAAGAAGGUUUUCGGAUCGUAAAACUCUGUUGUUAGAGAAGAACAAGGACGUUAGUAACUGAACGUCCCCUGACGGUAUCUAACCAGAAAGCCACGGCUAACUACGUGCCAGCAGCCGCGGUAAUACGUAGGUGGCAAGCGAUGUCCGGAUUUAUUGGGCGUAAAGCGAGCGCAGGCGGUUUCUUAAGUCAGAUGUGAAAGCCCCCGGCUCAACCGGGGAGGGUCAUUGGAAACUGUGAGACUUGAGUGCAGAAGAGGGGAGUGGAAUUCCAUGUGUAGCGGUGAAAUGCGUAGAUAUAUGGAGGAACACCAGUGGCGAAGGCGGCUCUCUGGUCUGUAACUGACGCUGAGGCUCGAAAGCGUGGGGAGCAAACGGG
RNAcentral lists this ribosomal RNA (429 nucleotides) under Gemmatimonadota bacterium. Its description in RNAcentral is "Gemmatimonadetes bacterium partial 16S ribosomal RNA". It matches the Rfam family "Bacterial small subunit ribosomal RNA", at positions 355 to 776 of the family's 1533-position model. Lineage: Bacteria; Pseudomonadati; Gemmatimonadota. The record is from RNAcentral.